RNAcentral lists this long non-coding RNA (777 nucleotides) under Rattus norvegicus (Norway rat). RNAcentral's name for it is "long non-coding RNA NONRATT023003". The record is from RNAcentral. Lineage: Eukaryota; Metazoa; Chordata; Mammalia; Rodentia; Muridae.
UAGCCCAGGGUUGCCUUGAUGAUCCCAACUUUGACUCCUCAGGUGAUGGGAUUUCCAGCAUGUACUACCAAUCUCGGCACAGUUUUUCUCUUCUUAAUGCACUGGCAAACUUUUUAUGGUGCCCACACCAUUCUAGUAACAACAUGAAGGAUUCCAGUUCUCCAACCCCCUUAUUUUCUCCAACAAUUGUUAGUUUCCAUUAUUUUAUAAUGGCCAUCCCAGUGGUGUGGGAUAGAUUAAAUUUGCACACACACACACACACACACACACACACACACACACCCCAAAAGCUAAAAAUACCAACCAUCUUGUCCUGUGCUUAUUGGCCAUUCAUGUAUUUUUCUUGAGAGAAAUUUUUUUCAAGUCUUUUGCUGAUUUCUGGGUUGAUCAUUUGGUAUUUUGCCGUGGUGCUCUAAGAAUGAUCUGUAUAUUUCAGGCAUUAUCACAUAUACUGUUUGCAUGUUCCUUCAGGGCUUUUGGGGCUUACGCCUGGAGCUUGACUUCCUUCUGAGGAGAGGCAGGCAACAGGCGUCUGCAAGUGAGACAUAAGUUCAAAUGUGAUCACUGGUGGGAUGGGAAACCUGAGGAGAUGGAGUGAAAUCCUGUGGGGACGAUGUGGAGGGAACUCCAGUGAGGGCAGUCAGGUGGCUGGGUGACAUUCCCAACCCAGACAUCGUAACUAGACAAGGUUAAGAGAUUGGCUAAAACUUAAAAGGGAUGGUGGGUCUGGGUAUGGUGACCCUGCACCCAGCACUUGGGAAGCAGGGGCAGAAGCAU